GUCCCUGUAGCGCAAUGGAUAGCGCGUUGGUCUUCUAAUCCAAAGGCUGUGGGAUUGAAUCUUACCUGGGAUG
Molecule: transfer RNA, 73 nt
Filed under: Trichonephila inaurata madagascariensis
Lineage: Eukaryota; Metazoa; Arthropoda; Arachnida; Araneae; Nephilidae
Rfam family: tRNA
About the family: Transfer RNA (tRNA) molecules are approximately 80 nucleotides in length. Their secondary structure includes four short double-helical elements and three loops (D, anti-codon, and T loops).
Source: Rfam by way of RNAcentral